GUAUCUCUACUGAAUCUCUAAAAUACAGUCUUUGUAAUCUUUUACUUAUUCUGUUGGAGGGAUUGGGUUGGGUGAUUCGUACCCUCUAUACCACCAUGGCGCUGGUGGUGAUUGAGCUCUUUUGCCCUAGUGGCCUAAUAUUUGUCUACAGACUCUUACUAAUUCUAUGUUAACAUUCUCAUACUUACUAUAUUAUUACAAUGAACCUUCCAUCUUCUUCAAGAUAUAUAAAAUGUAAAAACUAAAAUGUUUGGAUUAUAGCUAUGUUUUUAUAUUUUUAUAGUAAAGAGAUGAAUAUGUAACAGGCG
RNAcentral lists this small RNA (308 nucleotides) under Histoplasma capsulatum var. duboisii H88. RNAcentral describes it as "Histoplasma capsulatum H88 hypothetical RNA". The record is from RNAcentral. Lineage: Eukaryota; Fungi; Ascomycota; Eurotiomycetes; Onygenales; Ajellomycetaceae.